UCAAAGGUUAUGAGGAAGAGGAGUACACCAUAACAGCCAACAGAGAGGGAGGCCCAUGGGCUGAAAGGUAUCCCGGGUGGAUGGAUGGUGGAAGGUAGCUUCUGAACUGGGACGGUGAAGGAACCGGGAGUUGUGGCUCCUGGGUUUUGUGUAACUGUCUGACGGGCGGCUCCGUUACAGGCUAAAGAGAUUGCCGGAUGAAGAGGUGCUUCCGGCAGAAUAAAGGUGGUACCGCGAGUUAUUCGCCCUUUGC
RNAcentral lists this non-coding RNA (253 nucleotides) under Clostridium sp. Its description in RNAcentral is "T-box sequence". It matches the Rfam family "T-box leader". Rfam says of the family: Uncharged tRNA acts as the effector for transcription antitermination of genes in the T-box leader family. The record is from RNAcentral. Lineage: Bacteria; Bacillati; Bacillota; Clostridia; Eubacteriales; Clostridiaceae.